RNAcentral lists this ribosomal RNA (468 nucleotides) under uncultured bacterium. RNAcentral describes it as "partial 16S ribosomal RNA". It matches the Rfam family "Bacterial small subunit ribosomal RNA", at positions 28 to 507 of the family's 1533-position model. The record is from RNAcentral.
GACGAACGCUGGCGGCGUGCUUAACACAUGCAAGUCGAACGGAAAGGCCCUGCUUUUGUGGGGUGCUCGAGUGGCGAACGGGUGAGUAACACGUGAGUAACCUGCCCUUGACUUUGGGAUAACUUCAGGAAACUGGGGCUAAUACCGGAUAGGAUCUCCUGCUGCAUGGUGGGGGUUGGAAAGUUUCGGCGGUUGGGGAUGGACUCGCGGCUUAUCAGCUUGUUGGUGGGGUAGUGGCUUACCAAGGCUUUGACGGGUAGCCGGCCUGAGAGGGUGACCGGGCACAUUGGGACUGAGAUACGGCCCAGACUCCUACGGGAGGCAGCAGUGGGGAAUAUUGAACAAUGGGCGGAAGCGUGAUGCAGCAACGCCGCGUGCGGGAUGACGGCCUUCGGGUUGUAAACCGCUUUCGCCUGUGACGAAGCGCGAGUGACGGUAAUGGGUAAAGAAGCACCGGCUAACUACGUG